CACGUCAGCGCGAUGUCAGGGUACGUGACAGGACAUCGCGUCCACGUCAGCGCGACUUGUUGACGUGGACGCGAUGUCCUGUCACGUACCCUGACAUCGCGCUGACGUGG
Molecule: non-coding RNA, 110 nt
Organism: Gossypium raimondii (Peruvian cotton)
Lineage: Eukaryota; Viridiplantae; Streptophyta; Magnoliopsida; Malvales; Malvaceae
Source: Rfam